UUUCAUUCAUCAUACAUUCAUUCCAUGUUGUACAGUACGUACUCUUUGGUUGUUCAAAUAUCUUGUCAUAGUGUUGUAUUAUUGUUUUCCAAUAUUCGAACUCCCACCCUAC
RNAcentral lists this non-coding RNA (112 nucleotides) under Fragilariopsis kerguelensis. The record is from RNAcentral. Lineage: Eukaryota; Bacillariophyta; Bacillariophyceae; Bacillariales; Bacillariaceae.